Molecule: long non-coding RNA, 2092 nt
Organism: Hemicordylus capensis (graceful crag lizard)
Lineage: Eukaryota; Metazoa; Chordata; Lepidosauria; Squamata; Cordylidae
Exons: 3
Source: RefSeq, a predicted model, not a curated record
GUGGACACGAUCCACAGUCAGCUGAGUUGUUUAGGGUCAUGAGAGGACGAAUCUGGUCCCCUCCUUUCCUGACCUUGGACCUGGAACUAGUGGUUGACCACUGUGAUGCUUCUAAGAGACAGACAAAAUCUUUCAUUUUUGAGCCGACUUAGAGACCACAUUUGAUGUGUGCUGUGACCUGCUCUCGGGAAAUUGCUGCUUCUUGCGCAGAGGUGUGUCCUGUCUGAGAGUUGGAUGAGGGAUGCAGGGACUGACCUCCCCCCUCCCUCUGCUGCCUGCAGGGUGGGAAGGAGUACCUGAUGCGGGCCCACUUCGGACUCCCCAGUGUGGAAGCUGAGGACAAGGAGGGGAAGCCACCCAUCAGUGUGAAGUUUGAAAUCCCCUAUUUCACCACCUCUGGGAUCCAGGUCCGCUACUUGAAGAUCAUUGAGAAGAGUGGCUAUCAGGCGUUGCCUUGGGUGCGCUACAUCACCCAGAACGGGGAUUACCAACUCCGGACAUAAUCGGAAGCACCUGCCUGCCACAGACCAGAGAACAGCUCUUGGCUUCCAGUCCAGAGAGGCGUCUGGUGGUCCUGGAAGGGCUUGGCGGUGGCUGCGGGAGCUGGCUGGCUGCAAGCGGGGUCAGGCCCAGCCCUCGACACUGUGCUUGGGCCAGGAGGCUGCAGGACUUGCCAAUGUUCGUUUGUUUUGUUCUGUUCAGUGUUGAGCAUGUUAGCAGCUGCCCUGAGAGGAAGCCAGGAGCUGGUCUCCGGGAAGCCUGUUCCAUCUGACUUCUCAGCUCCCGGAGCUCAGCCGCCUCCUCCUCCUCCUCCUCCUCCUCCCCGCUUCCUCUUGAAGCCAUUUGUAUUAGCCAAAUCUCUCUUGCCCGGGGACCCCCUGCUGCUGCUGCUGCUGCUGCCACUUCUGAAUGCUAACCAGUCCCAGUCCCUCCCUGUAGUCUUUCCCCUGGAAACCCCCGAGAAGCCAGCUUUGCUCCGGGCUGUGCUGCUUUGCAAGGAAAUCCUCAUCUAGGUGUCUGAAGAUAGCCCGCUGGCUCUUGCCAAAGGGCGUUCGGCAUGGAGGCCUCAGCUGUUUUGCACAGCACAUGCUGACAUGCAAUGGAGAGAGGACAUCCCGUUCGUGGCCGUCCAGGUCGCACAGAUCAUAGCUGAGGCGGCAGGCUUGUGUCUGGACUGUGCUGCUUCUGACGCUUGCGUGAUUGAGCAGUCCUUCGUUAGAAAAGAAAAUCCCUGCUCAGAAUGAGGUGUCGCAGAGAAGGAAUCUAGCCUGACAGGCUGGUUCUCUGGAUGGCAGGAAUUUUGGUCUGGAGGAAUAUUUGAUCAUGUGAGCCCCCGCCUGAAGUCAUACGGUCCAGGUAGGGGGUUGCCAGGUCAUUUGCUCUUUGUGAGAGAACUUGGCCAUAAACACGCCUGUUGCAAUGAGAGCCCAGUGAGUGGUGCACGAUAACAGAUGGUCCAAGCUGCCCGCUUGAAGGAGCCUGGCUCAAGAGCUGAGUGAGGGGGAAAUGGAAGGCAGGCCUGGGCUUCCUCCACAUCUAGGUCCAUUUGUUCCAUCGGAGAGAUCCCUUCUCUGCACCUGUUCUAGCAGAAAGGCCACUAUUUCCCUGUGCUUGUUUAGCUUUCCUCCUGUUAGUUGAUCCCUUCCUCUUUGGAGCUGCGGGUUUCAAUUUCAUGACUUGUUUACAAUGUCUACUAAAUCAGUGUUGGCUGCUGGAAAAGCAGAUGUUAAAUGUGAGUUUCGGAACCUGAUGCCCACCCUGUGUCUGACAGCUUUGGAGGUUGGAAACGGCUGUCUCUGGAAACGUGGCUCCUAUGGUGCUCUGCUUGGCCAAAUGGAAACCCUGAAGGCAAGGCAGAGCAUGAAUGGGGACGUCUUGUGGCCUUCUGCUACGGUGGAAAACGCCGCUCCACUGCUGGGGGUGGAGUGUUGCUUCAGCACUGCCAAUGGUGGCUCCCAAGAGCUGGGCACCGGCCACCCGCUGCCUCCCUCCAUCUGUCAGAAACAUUGUCAAGGAUGCAUCAUGUCUUCAAAAGGUCAUUGUUGGUGUUUCCUAAACGUCUGUUGAGAUAAACUACCUUGCUUGAUUGAGA